Molecule: small nucleolar RNA, 136 nt
Filed under: Mus spretus (western wild mouse)
Lineage: Eukaryota; Metazoa; Chordata; Mammalia; Rodentia; Muridae
Description: predicted gene, 23530 (ENSMSPG00010007188.1)
Rfam family: Small nucleolar RNA SNORA17
About the family: snoRNA ACA 17 belongs to the H/ACA family of snoRNAs and is predicted to guide pseudouridylation of the 28S rRNA at positions U4659 and U4598. It shares the same host gene together with ACA43. NB This family has a high threshold value to exclude a large number of closely related sequences that do not appear to have conserved H and ACA boxes, and may be pseudogenes.
Source: RNAcentral
CCUGUCCCUAGAUGCAUUGCUGAUGUGGCUGUGUGCCAUGUAGCAUGUUUGUCAAAAGGUGAUAGAGAGGAACGACGCUAUGUCUAUGCUCAGUGUUCUGACCUGUGAACAUCUGAAUGAUUAAUAGCCUAAUACA